AAAAUGGCAUUAACUGUUUUGAUUAUGUUCAUUGCUUCACUGGCCAAAUGUUUUGUGUUUAGUGUGUUGUGUCCUAUGUCGGUUAAAAGGUUUUAAAUUGCGGUCAUGAUUUUGUUGUGAUUCUUGAUAUUAUGGACAAAUGAGGCCAUGAUUGACGAUGCAAUGUGGUCGUGGAAGCCAAGGUUUUAUGUUAGCAAUCUCAAGCCCAAUAGACCCAAGAGAUACUCCACGAGGCCCAAAUACCUCAGCGACUUCGUGUAAUUUCUCCCAGCCAGAUAGUGACAAGGAACAGAAUCAUCCGCUAGCACUACACCAGAUUCCUGUCCCUCCUUGCUGCAGCAUUUUGCCAUUCUGUUAUAGCAUUAGCGAUUCUGUUAGAAUAUUUAGCCGACAAGUCUGUUAGUGGCAAUUGUUGAUGAUUACAGCUGGCCCUUGCUCUGUAACGGCCUUUAUCCCUGUAAUUCAGUAUAAAUAACAAUCAACAUCAAUGAAAUGAAAUGAGGCAGGCAGAAUCCAAAUUACUCUUAUUCAUCUUUGUUAAUUUCCUUAGUUAUUAGCUUAGAACCAUAACAACUGGUCCGACCUGCUACCACCGUCAUGUCGGAACAUAACACAUGGCAAGCCACCAUUGAACGGCUCGACGAGGCCAUAGCCAAACUCACACAGAGCCACCACUCACUCUCGCAGAACCAAACUGCCCUCUCCCAAGCCCAACACGACAUGAACGCCAAGAUGGAUUCCCUACUAGAACCUCUUGUUGCCCUUACCCCGAUACCCUCAUCUCCAACCCCACCCAGUAGCUCACGGCCACAUAUGAAACUAGAAGUCCCUCGUUUUGACGGUAGUGAUCCUAUGGGAUGGAUAUUCAAAAUAACUCGGUUUUUUGAUUAUCAGAACAUUCUAGAUCAAGAGAAACUUAUCGUUGCCGGCUUUUACAUGGAAGGUGCCGCUCUCACUUGGUACCAAUGGAUGUACCGUAACGGCUUCCUCACCACUUGGCCUGCCUUGCUCCAGGCACUUGAAUCCCAUUUCGCGCUUUCUUUUUAUGAUGACCCUCACGGCGCCCUCUUCAAGCUUCAACAACGUGGCACUGUCAAGGAGUACUUGACGGAGUUUGAACGCCUAGCAAACCGCACCGUCGGUCUAGCUCCUCCGUUCCUUCUCAGUUGCUUCAUCUUAGGCUUACUUUCGGAACUACGACACGAGGUCCAAGCCCUUCAACCCUUAUCUCUCCCUCAGGCAAUAGCCUUGGCUAGACUCCAGGAGGACAAGCUCCACGAUCGCCGUUGUGGCCCUCGUCCUUUCUCCCUUCCGUCCCAAACAGUCACAUUACCCACAAACCCCUAUCCCUUACCUUCGACCAAGCUCCCUUUUAAACGUCUCUCAUCGAAAGAAAUGGCUGUUCGCUGCGAUAAGGGCUUGUGCUAUACCACUACGAUGACAAGUGGGUUGCGGGCCACCGUUGCAAGCCAUCCCUUCAUCUCCUUAUUGUCGAUGACGAAGGCGAUACCCCAACUCCUUCUUCUCUUCCUGACGAUUUGCCUGACCAAUUACUUCCUCAUGUUAGCAUGAAUGCUUUAGCAGGGCUCUUGGCGCCAAAAACUUUUCGGAUUUACGGUGCCGUGAACCAUCACAGGGUUGUCAUUUUGGUGGACAGCGGCAACACCCAUAACUUUAUUCAAACUAGGGUUGCUAGAUUUCUGAACCUCAAGCACUCACCCACCAACCCAUUACGGGUUAUGGUUGGAAAUGGAAACGUCCUUGAAUGUGAUUCCGUUUGCCCUUCAUUUUCUCUCGCCGUUCAGGGUCACCUCUUUCCAGCGGAUCUCUUCAACCUCCCUAUCACUGGUGCCGAUAUUGUCCUAGGGAUUCAAUGGUUAAAAGCCCUUGGACCAGUCACUGCUGAUUAUUCGCAUUUAACAAUGACCUUCUCAUAUUUGGGCCAACCUGUUACCCUUAAUGCUGAUGUCCCUUUGCUAAUUACACCAGCGUCGGCCCAACAACUGCGCUGUAAUGCGCAAACCCAGAGCAUUGUUGUCCUCUUCCACCUAAUCCCACUCACACCCCCAGCCCAACUAGUACCAACCCAAGUACCUGAUGCCUCUUCUUCCUCACCAGAACUACACACUCUCCUCUCUUUGUUUGACCAUCUCUUUCACGAACCCACCACCCUACCACCACCUCGAAACAUCACUCAUCACAUACACCUUCUCCCAAACACAAACCCAGUAAACAUCAAACCCUACCGCUACCCUUAUUAUCAAAAGUCUGAGCUCGAAAAGCAAGUCACUUCUAUGCUUGAGGCCAGUUUGAUACAACCGAGCCAGAGUCCAUUCUCUUCGCCGAUUCUCCUCGUGAAAAAGAAGGACGGUUGCUGGCGGUGCUUUGUAGACUACAGAGCACUCAACGACAUCACUGUAAAGGAUCGCUUCUCCAUGCCCACCAUUGAUGAACUCCUUGAUGAAUUGGCCAGGCAUCGUGGUUCUCUAAGCUCGAUUUAUGACAAGGGUUCCACCAAAUUCGGGUAGCUCUUGCGGAUGUGCAUAAGACAGCUUUCAGGACUCACGAGGGUCACUAUGAGUUCAAGGUGAUGCCCUUUGGCCUCUGCAACGCUCCGUCAACCUUUCAGGCCACCAUGAAUGGCCUCUUUCAGCCAUUUCUAUGGAAAUUCGCUGCCGUCUUCUUUGACGACAUUCUCGUCUAUAGCACUUCCCUUGUCUUACACCUUGAUCACCUCAAGACCAUAUUCGCGACAUUAUCACAGAGCAAGUUUUUCCUCAGCCGCUCAAAAUGUCUUUUCUCACAAGAACGCAUUCACUAUCUCGGACAUAUUGUAUCGGCUCAAGGGGUUGCACUUGACCCUGAUAAAAUUCAAAUCAUGCUCAACUGGCCUUUACCAACAUCGUCCACGACAUUGCACGGAUUCCUCGGGCUAAUAGGAUUUUACCGCAAAUUUAUCAGAGGCUAUGCUUAGGUCGCUGGCCCGCUGACGGCUUUGCUACGUGAGGACCAAUUCUGUUGGAAUCCAAAUGCCCAACAGGUUUUCAACUUGUUGAAGCAACUCAUGACCACGACCUCUGUUUUAGCCACUCCGGACUUCAUUGUCCCCUUUGUCGUGGAAUCGGACUCUUCAACUCAGGCCAUGGGCGCUGUCCUCAUCCAACGUUCACACCCCAUAGCCUUUUUUAGUAAAUUGUUUUGUCCCAGACUCCAACGAGCCUCCGCUUAUGUUAGGGAACUUAUCGCAAUUACAGCCGCGGUCCGCAAAUGGUAGCACUAUCUCCUCGGCCACCACUUCAUCAUUCUUACUGAUCAUCGUAGCUUGAAAGAUCUCAUGGCUCAGGUUAUUCAAAUCCCAGAGCAAACAGUACCUAUAUAAACUUCCUGGGUAUGAUUACUCCAUUCAAUACAAAUCCGGCCCUGCCAACAUUGUUGUUGAUGCUCUUUCACGCAUCCCUUCACCCUCUGCAGAUCAAUUGUUGUCUUUGUCGGUCCCAAACUUCGAUUUUCUGGACAAACUUCAACAAUCCCUGCAUGACAAUGUUGAAUAUAAAGAGCUAUUUCAGAGGAUCCACAAUGACCCCUCCUCUCAACCCGAGUUCACCAUUCACAGGGACCUUCUCUUUUCUGGUGGCUAAAUCUGGCUCCCUCCCAAUUUUCCUUUUUCCAAGGUUUUACUCUAAGAAUUUCAUGCCACCCCCCUAGGUGGUCAUAUGGGGGUUUCUAAAACCAUCCAUCAUCUUCAGGAAAAUUUCAUUUGGCUAGGAAUGCGUUCCGACGUUCGUAAGUUGAUAUCGCAAUGCCACACUUGCCAACAAAUGAAAUAUGAGACCAAGCGCCCCGCUGGUUUGCUCCAACCUCUCCCUGUCCCUUCUGCAAUAUGAGAGGAUUUAUCUUUGGACUUUAUCACGGGUCUUCCAUCCUCACAAAAUUACAUGGUUAUUUUGGUGGUUGUUGACAGAUGCACCAAGGGCGUCCAUUUCGGUGCCUUACCCUCACAGUACACUGCCUUCAAAGUCGCAUCCCUGUUUCUAGACAGUCUGCAAGUUGCAUGGAUUCUCUCGCAAUCUCAUCUCGGAUCGUGACCCACUUUUUUAUUAGCGCUUUCUGGCGGGAACUCUUUCGCCUAUGCGGCACACAGCUCCGAAUGAGCACGACUUAUCAUCCCCAAAUAGACGGCCAAGCGGAGGUGCUCAACUGCGUCCUAGAGCAAUACCUCCGUUCCUUUGUCCAUGACCGCCCUUCUCAAUGGUUCAAGCACCUUGCCCUCACAGAGUGGUCCUACAACACCUCUAUACAUUCAGGAACCGGCAUUUCACCUUUUGAAGCUACCUACGGGAAGCCACCACCGUCCAUACCACAGUAUCUCCAGGGCACUUCUCGAGUUGCCGUCGUCGAUGACAUCUUAACUACCCGCACCAAACUUCAUGCUACCUUACGCCGCCGCUUACACAAGGCCUAGGCAUCCAUUAAGCAGGCAGCGGACGCUCAUUGGCGCAAUGUUCAGUUCUGGGUCAACGAAUGGGUUUAUGUUUGCCUCCGUCCCCAUCGUCAAACUUCAGUAGCGCCCACCUACAACAAGCUCUCCAAACAUUUCUUUGGGCCUUUUCGCAUCGGAAUGAAUUGGUUCCGUAGCUUAUUGACUGAAGUUACCUGAAUCUUCAAAGAUUCAUCCCGUUUUUCACGUCUCAAAACUAUAACAUCACUGUGGCCCCACACCAACUCUUCCGGACAUGGUUAAGAAGUUGGGAAAAUGAUUUUGGGAUAAACUACAACCACUGGUCGAGUAAUCUUAGAUCAGGGUUUAUGUAUUAGUUGAGGAUAGCACAAUAUAACAGCAGUAGAAAAUAUAUUCAUUUUUGUAUCCAGCUUUUGGUUUCUACCAAGACUACAUUAAGUCUGUUUUGAAACCAAUUGUCUGCUUUAUUAAUCUGUACACUUUGUACCUCUGGUACUUAGAUCAAUAUAUAUUUAUCUUUGCUGAUAAAAAAAAAAACUCUUCUGGAUCACUACCGUUGCUUACCGUGGGAAAUGACCCCGUCAUCCAACCAAUGUCCAUAGUGGAUUGGAAAUGGGAUUUUUCUACCUCCCCUCCAACGAAGCUGGUGUUGGUCCGAUGGGAAGGCGCUGCACCCGAGGAUACCACCUGGGAAGACUGGGAACAACUCUGGACUUCCUACGACCUUGAGGACAAGGUCUUUCUCCCGGAUGGAGGUGAUGUGAACAAUCUUGAGCUCAAUAGACCCAAGAUAUACUCCACGAGGUCCAAAUACCUCAGUGACUUCGUGUAAUUUCUCCCAGCCAGAUAGUGACAAGGCACAGAAUCAUCCGCUAGCACUACACCAGAUUGCUGUCCCUCUUGCUGCUGCAUUUUGCCAUUCUGUUAUAGCAUUAGCGAUUCUGUUAGAAUAUUUAGCUGACAAAUCUGUUAGUGGCAAUUGUUGAUGAUUACAGCUGGCCCUUGCUCUGUAAUGGGCUUUAUCCCCGUAAUUCAGUAUAAAUAACAAUCAACAUCAAUGAAAUGAGGCAGGCAGAAUCCAAAUUACUCUUAUUCAUCUUUGUUAAUUUCCUUAGUUAUUAGCUUAGAACCAUAACAUUUUAAAUUGUGGUUGCAGUUGUGGUUUUGUUGUGAUCCGUAGUAAUAUUGUGGGAAAUUGUAGACAAAUGCGGCGGUUACAAAAUUGUGGUUGUGAUGCGGUUGGUGAGAGCCAAAAAUCCUUGACUUUGUAGCCAAAGUUGCGGUUGCAAACUGUAGUUUAAAACCUUGGUGGAGGCACAUAAACGUUCAUGUUGCAGCCAUAGUUGCGGUUGUGAACCAUAUUUUAAAACCUGGAUUUGAAGGCUAAAGUUCAGGAGAAGUUUUACGAGUACUUGGAUGUGAGGGGAGUGAAUAAUGAGCUUGCAGUUUUCUUGCAUGAAUAUAUGAUGAACAAGG
RNA transcript from Glycine soja, 5935 nucleotides. RefSeq lists it as uncharacterized. The record is from RefSeq and is a predicted model, not a curated record. Lineage: Eukaryota; Viridiplantae; Streptophyta; Magnoliopsida; Fabales; Fabaceae. The transcript has 2 exons.